This 99-nucleotide Y RNA is filed under the name Suricata suricatta (meerkat). RNAcentral's name for it is "Y RNA (ENSSSUG00005001411.1)". It matches the Rfam family "Y RNA". Rfam says of the family: Y RNAs are components of the Ro ribonucleoprotein particle (Ro RNP), in association with Ro60 and La proteins. The record is from Rfam by way of RNAcentral. Lineage: Eukaryota; Metazoa; Chordata; Mammalia; Carnivora; Herpestidae.
GGCUGGUCUGACUGCAGUGGUGUUUAUAAUUAAUUGAUCACAUCCAGUUACAGAUUUCUUUGUUCCUUAUCCACUCCUACCUCAUUUGACUAGCCUUAA